Peromyscus californicus insignis is the source of this 6013-nucleotide long non-coding RNA. RefSeq lists it as uncharacterized. Lineage: Eukaryota; Metazoa; Chordata; Mammalia; Rodentia; Cricetidae. The record is from RefSeq and is a predicted model, not a curated record. The transcript has 3 exons.
UAAAACAAAGUUAUUUAUUUGUAUCUGUUGUGAGGGUUUUUGAGACAAGGUUGGCCUUGACUCCUAAUCCUCUCGCUUCUACCACGGUGCCAGGUGCUCAUCCUCCCCACCCCAUUAUCCUGCUGUUUUGUGUUCUUCGUGUAUGACUUCAAGCAAGCCUCAUAUUUGAAAUCUAUAAGAAUAGCAUAAUUUAGCUUUGGAAACAACUAUUACUGGCAUGGGGAAAUUCACACUGUAGAAACGUAACUGCAAGACCUGGGGCUGGCAACACGAUUCUCUGUGGGGUGGUUCAGGAAUCAGUGUGUAUAUGGGACUCAAAUCCUGGUUUUCCCCUUUCACUUUACAGCUUAGGCAGAUGGGCUGGAGGGAUAGAUAGGGUUAAGAUCACUGGUGGUUCUUGCAGUUCAGUUUCCAGCACCCACAUGGUAGUUUACAACUUUGGUGGUUAGAAUGAAAAUGGCCCCACAGGCUCAUAGGGACUGCCCAUUGGGAGGUAUGGCCUUGUUGGAAGAAGUAUGUCACUGGGGCCGGCUGUGAGGUCUCAGAAGCUCAAGUCAGGCCUAGUAUAGCUCUCAAUCUUUUCCUGCUGCUUGCAGAUCCAGAUGUAGAGCUCUUAGCUACCUCUCCAUCACCAUGUCUGCCUACAUGCCACCGUGCUUCCCAUCAUGAUGAAAAUGGACUGAACCUUUGAACUGAUCCAGAGGAGGAAGCCUGCUCCUAUAUCAAGGGAGAGCUGCCUGGCGACCUAGGCACUGGAUACUCAAGGCUCUUGAGGGGAAGUAGGUCAGUGGGUUCAUGGCAGGGGUGGGGAGGAAAAAAUGGGCCUUGUUUGCCUGUCUGGAAAACUGAAACACCUUAGAAAGCAGGUCCAAAGAUUGAAUGUUUUGAAACUAUGACCCAGCCUUGGCCUGUUUGUUUGAACUGAGCAUGGCCAACUUGAUGGUGAACCUGGCUGGUCUCCCCCAGCAGUUUCAGAGGGUUACAUCAUUGGAUUUCCAUAUGCAGGUCAUGUCCUCUCCAGUGCCAAGGAAUGUGUGGAUUUGCAAUAUUGCUUCUACAAACUCUCUUAUCACACCAUUGCGCAUUGCAGCCCGAAUGUUAAACAAAUCAAUCAAUCAAUAGAUGUUGGCUUCACAUUUUGUACAGACCAGUUGAACAGACACACAGACAAAGUCUCCUGACUACUCCACAGUCUCCCUGUAGCCAGGUGACACCCUGCCAACACUUCCUCCUCCUGGACACAGGCUCACCUGAAGAGACAGGUCAAACCCCUCGCUCAGGAGGGCUGUGCUUGCAGUCAUGGCAGUUUCCAGGCCUUGUCUAAGUGUCCUGGAGGCAAACCUAGACACGACUGGGUGCUUCCCGGAAGCAGAGGACUGAUCUAAGUUCACCUAGUGAAAACAGCUCCCAGAGCUGUUCUGUGGGCCACGUAGAGGAAUGGAUAAACAAGGGCGUGAGCGGGCUUUAAUACACAAGGAAUGGGUGCCAGACUUGGUGUUCAGACAGUAGCAUCUUGGGCUUUUUAAUCCAAAACCAGAACAUUAAAUCCCUUGAAUGUGUUUCCUAGCCUCUCGCCCAUCUUCCUGUGAGUGCUCCCUUCCAGUGCUCCCUUCUGGUACCCUCCAAAGUGUUUGUUAGGAAGUCUCCUGUGCCUUCUUGCUCUUCUGGAAACCACCUGGAGCAGCCACCCCAAAAAGCUUGUUUUGUAAUGGUGCGCUUCUGAGUUUCUGUGGUUUCAGUUUCUAUUUCUGUCUCUGACUGUUGUAACUUUUCUAUCUCUUUAGACCUUUUAUGGGUAGUUUUGGGUUUCCCAGGCAUUUGUACUCUGCCCAUCAUGUCAGCUACGUAAACUGUUGACAAAGGUAUGGCAAAAUCCCGCUUUCAUUAUUGACCCCGGAAAAACGUCUGUGAAAGACCAGAACUCAAGCUGGGUGUGCUGGCACAUGUCUGUAAUCCCCUCACUUGGGAAACCGAGACCAGAGACUCUAAUGUGAGUUUCGAGAUAGUGAACUCCAGGCCAGGCUGAGCUACAUAGUAUGACAUGAGACCCUGGCUCAGAAUAAAAUAAAGGAGUGUAAUCAAAUGCCACACCUCUAGGAGUCGAUAAAAGGUUUGACCUUGUAUUGAUUGGCCACUUGCAAUUCUCAAACAUGAGAUUUCGUCAAGGGAGUUUCCCUUGUCUGAGAUGUUGACCCAUAAUGCAAUACAGACAGCACAAUGGCAGUCUCCAUUCUCCUGUGUCAGCCCUGGCUCUUUGCCGAUGAUGACAGUCACCAUUAUGUUCUUUCCAGUUUUAUUUUGUCUCUGAACGUCAGACAUAAUUCAUUCAGAACUUAAAACAUUUGUGCAGAGCAGUGGUGGCACACACCUUUGAUCUCAGCACUCGGGAGGCAGAGGAAGGUGGAUCUCAAGGCCAGGCCGGUCUACAGAGCAAGUUCCAGGACAGCCAGGACUGUUACACAGAGAAACCUUGUCUCAAAAAACAAAAAAUCCAAAACCAAAACAAAAAAAUCAAAACAUUUGCCUAAUGAUUUACAGGUUCCAUUGUUUCCAUCUACAUUAUUUAAAUUUGUCACCACAGUUUAUUCAGUGAAAUCAUGUAGCUAUUAUCGCUCCCAUUUUAUAGGUCAGAAAACUAAUGUCUUCUGGUGAGCAAGUAACAGAACUCCACAAAGAAAACAGGUGGUAUGUGUACUAGUCCAGGAUUCUUUUCAUACCACAAGACUGACUCCAAUGGGAGCUGGGGGAGUAGUGUAAUGUAAAGUGUGAUGCUUGCCUAGCAUGGAGGAGGCCCUGGGUUUUAUCCCCAGCAGUCCAUAAAUGGGGUGUGGUGUCUCACACCUACAAUACUAGCAUUCAGGAGGUAAAAAUAAAUAAAUAAACCAGGAAUUCAAGGUUUCCCUUGGCUACAUAGCAAGUUUCGGGCCAACCUGGAAUACAUGAGACCCUUUCCCAAAACAGGGACAAAUAAAUAAGCCCCAUCAUAUGGCGAUGAUUCACCAGCUUCAGAUAUAUCAGAAUCUUCCGGAGGUCUGUGACCACAUAGAUUGCUGGUAUUCGUGCCAUAACCCCAGCAUUUCUGAUUCAGUAGCUCUAAGGUAGGGUCUGAAAAGGUUCUCAUUCACAUCCUCUGCUUUCUCCCUUGCCUCCCUCAUCUCAGCCCCCCUUGCAGCUAGGGGAGGUCAUCUAACCUAGUUCUGGUCAAUGAGAUGUCAGAAGUUUUCAGGGAAAACCUUGUGCUGGAUUAGUGUUGGAAAUGUAGCUCAGUUGUCUAGCGUGGGCAAAACCCAGAGUUUGAUCCUGAAUACUGAAACAAAAAAGGAAGGAAGGCGGGAUUAACAUUGGUCCAGCAGGGUCUUUUCAGGUUCUUGGCCUCUUAUUCAAAAGUUCACACAAAUAUGCAAAGUAGCAAGGGGAUUUUCUUCAAAGAAAAACGGUGGCAGAGAUGUGAUACACUGUCAGGAGUAAUGGUGGUAUAUGUGAGUGAAACAACUCAGGGCACCAGGUUACUGCCUGGUGCCAUUUUAAAUGUUUUAUGUCUCCCAAAGGUGAGAGCACACCCGACUGACAUCUUGAAGGAAUCAUAGAACCAAUGUGGCUGGAGCUGAGUCAGCAAAGAAGCUUGAGUUGGGCAGACCCAACAAGAACAGCUGCCUCGCCGCCGAGUCACCUGCCUCCACAGCUGGAGCCACUCUGAGCACACCUUCCCGUGGUGGAUUCUACCCUCCAGCUGUGAGCCAGAAGGAACCCUUUCUUCUUUCAGUUGCUUUUGUGAGGUAUUUUGUCACAGCAGUGAGGAAAGGAACUGCUUGGGAUUCCUGUUGGACAGCCAAGAGGAGGUGCCACAUCAGAAGCUGGUAUCUGGAGGGCCGGGGCAGGGGUCCAGGUUGGCAGUAGAAACUGGGUGGGGUCAAAUCAAAGUCCCGAGCUAGAUCAGCUGUUGCCUAGGGCAUUAAAAGAGAUGAGAAGACAUAUUUGGACUGAGCCCAGGAGCCCUUAGAACCUUUGGAAAUGGGGAAAUGGGAGUGAUUCUGUGAAGGGGAGCGUUGGACAAGAAAGGGCAGAUCAUUCUGCUGAAGCCACCUUGUGUUUUUAGGGUCACUUCUCAAAAAGAAGAGGAGGAGGAGGAGGGAAAAAGUCUUAAGUUGUGAAAAAUAUUUGUACCAACAAACAAAUACUCUAACAUUGAAAUUCAGACCAAGAAAGACGUUAGGAUUAAGACAAAGGCUAGGGAUUUUAUGGUGAGAAAGAAUACAAAUUAAUGUGAAAAAUACUUAGACCCUAACAGGAAACAGACAAAGGAUAUGAAUAGAAAGUUCACAAAGAAGGAAAUAAAACUAGUAAACAAAGGUUUAGAAAACAUUUGACAUCAUCAACAAGGAAAGAAAUACAGAUUAAAACUACAAGAUGAUAUGUUUUCAACCAUUAAAUGAACAAAAGGCUUUUCAUGCCAUUUUACCCAGUAAUUCCAGUUCAGGGAAAUCUAAGAAACUAAGUGAAAAUGUGAAUGAAAAAAUUGAUCACAAUUUUAUCCACAAUAAUAGAAAAUAAUUCCAAUGCUAGCACUGAGAGACUAGCUUAGAAAAUUGUGGCAUAGUCAUACUAUUGCCUGUGGUGAUUUGAAUGCAAAUGGUGGCCCCAGAGGCUCAUGUGUUUGAAUGCUUAGUCACCAGGGAGUGGCACUACUUCUAAGGAUUAAAAGGAUCGGAAGGUGUGGCCUUGCUGGAGUAGGUGUGGUCUUAUUGGAGGAAGUUUGUCACUGGGCUUUAAGAUUUCAAAGCCCAUGCCAGGCCCAGCUUUUCUCUCUCUGCCGGCCUGCAGAUGAGGAUGUGAACUCUCAGCUACUGCUCCAGCAUGUGUGCUGCCGUGCUCCCCACCAUGAGGAUAAUGUACUAAGCCACUAACUGUAAACAAGCCCCCACUUAAAUGCUUCCCUUUUUAAGAGUUGCCUCAGCCAUAGUGUGUCUUCACAGCAACAGAACAGUGACUUAAGACUUUACUAAAUUAUUAAUAUUAAACUACAGAGAUGUAUAAAAUAUCUUGGAAGAAUUUAUGGUAAUGGGAAAAUGUAUAUAUUGUGUUAAUCUGUAAGAAGGAUUGGGGUUGUGUAGAUGACUCAGGUGCUAAGUGCCCAUCACAUAGCGUGAACACUCUCACUAGAGCCCACAUAGAACUAAAAAGCCAGGAGAAAAGGGAAACCAGUACGUGUUUACCCAUAGUCACACAGGAAGGCAUUCUUUCCUGCAGGGCCCCUUUAUAGAGCCCUGUACUGAGUAUUGGGAGUACAAAGAUGACUCAGAAAGUUCUGCUCUGGGUCUAACUGAAAUUUGAAAACUGAUCUGCCUUUAGCCUCCCAAACUUGAACAUGCUGAUCUCAUCUGAAAAACUGUUCCUCAGAAGUAAAUAAUAAAGUCUGAAAGAUGUAAAUAUAACUGGGGUCUAAAAAGAACACAGCAAAAUGAAGCUCAGUUUAAGGUGGCAGCUGGCUGCACAGCUGGGCCUCACGUGUCCCUGCUCAUGUCUGCACCCUCUGCUGAGUCCUUGGAGAGCCCCCUAUAGGAGUGAAGGUGGCCCUGGCCCUCCAGGGCAGGAAGUCAAGGCUGGGGGGGUGCGUGUAGGUCCAUGGUAUAGUACUUACUGGACAGGUUUGAGUAAGGUGCUAAGUCAGUGUUCUAUUGCUGUGAACAGACACCAUGACCAAGGCAACUCUUAGAAAAGAAAGCAUUUGACUGGGGACUUGCUUACAGGUUUAGAGGGUUAGUCCAUGGUCAUCAUGGCAGGCAGCAGACAGGCACGGCGCUGGAGCACUGGCUGAGAGCUUCACAUCCUGAUCUGUAGGCAGCAGAUAGAGAGAAACACUGGGCCUGGUAUAGGCUUUUGAAACCUCGAAGGCCACCCCCAGUGACACACCUUCUCCAACAAGGGCACACCUACUCCUUCCCAAACAGCUCAUGGGAGUAAGCACCACAAAGACCUGAGUACCAGAGAGGUGGGGGGGAGGGAGGGAGGGUAA